GGGCGGUUAGCUCAGCCGGUUAGAGCGCCUGCCUUACAAGCAGGAGGUCGCAGGUUCGAUCCCUGCACCGCCCA
RNAcentral lists this transfer RNA (74 nucleotides) under soil metagenome. It matches the Rfam family "tRNA". Rfam says of the family: Transfer RNA (tRNA) molecules are approximately 80 nucleotides in length. Their secondary structure includes four short double-helical elements and three loops (D, anti-codon, and T loops). The record is from RNAcentral.